This 86-nucleotide unclassified non-coding RNA is filed under the name Algibacter pectinivorans. RNAcentral's name for it is "Flavo-1 RNA". The record is from RNAcentral. Lineage: Bacteria; Pseudomonadati; Bacteroidota; Flavobacteriia; Flavobacteriales; Flavobacteriaceae.
GACUAACCCGCGUUAGGGAUUGCAGUGGAAAGCCCACAGCCCGACGCAGGAGGUGCGAGGACUUGUAACGGAAAGCCCGACCCCCU